AUCCAGCAAGUUCCACAUGUUCCGUAACCACUUUAGAGGGGAACUUAAUGGGCUGGAUUUGCAGCAAGUUAAAUGAGACUUUUUUUUUUUUUUAACGAUGUAGUUUUCACAGGCUGAUGCCCUUCACUGUUUGAGCGAAACCAUCUUGGUUGAACACGUGGGUACAUUUCACCAUCAGCCUUGUGUCAAAUAACCCUGAAUUUGAAAAUGAAAGC
This 215-nucleotide long non-coding RNA is filed under the name Homo sapiens (human). RNAcentral's name for it is "non-protein coding lnc-IRF4-21:1". The record is from RNAcentral. Lineage: Eukaryota; Metazoa; Chordata; Mammalia; Primates; Hominidae.